CGGGGCGUAGCGCAGCCCGGUAGCGCACCUGCCUUGGGCGCAGGGGGUCGCUGGUUCGAAUCCAGUCGCCCCGACCA
RNAcentral lists this transfer RNA (77 nucleotides) under Acidobacteriota bacterium. RNAcentral describes it as "tRNA-Pro". It matches the Rfam family "tRNA". Rfam says of the family: Transfer RNA (tRNA) molecules are approximately 80 nucleotides in length. Lineage: Bacteria; Pseudomonadati; Acidobacteriota. The record is from RNAcentral. RNAcentral also lists the same sequence under 4 other names.